UCGAAUUGUAUUUGUCGAAAAUCGGAGUUAUUUCACGAUAAGUUGAGAUAUUUUAAGUUUUAUAAAAUUCGUUGAUAUCGAGCAUUACGAUUCAGCAUUCUAGAGUAAAUUGUCUCGAUUAAAAACAAUUUAGAAAUAACUUACUUUUUAGAAUGCAAAAUUAUCAAACUUCAAUAAACGAGGAACACGAGUACUUUGUGGUUAGUAAGUAACGUAUUAAAGACUAAUCAUUGAUCAACGGUUCUCAACUUACGUUUUCCUAAAAUGCGUUAAAGUAUUAUGAAUUCGUGGUUCGUGUAGGGAAUUUUAUCAUAAUCGUUAGCAACAAUUGCAUUUAAUGUUAUUUUUAUUAUUAUAUUUUGCAGAACAGAAUUUGUUUCCUUUCUGCAAUAUAAUAAUAGCCAUUAUAAAGAAAAAGUUUUAUGAGUGAGUACAUUACGGAUCUGUUCGACUUUUAAACAAAUUCUAUGAAAGUUUAAAUGCAAAGAAAAAAUCAAUGUUAUUUAGUCGUUCUAACGAGAUUAAUGAAAUUGAUUUGGUAGUUUUUACUAGAAAAUAUAUACAUUAUAAAUAUUUAACAUUUAAAAUCACGCUGGGGAACAAUGUUAUCGUUAAAAUGAUAUGUUUUAAUAAAUUUAGUUAAACUGUUACAAUUGAAUGAAAUAAAUCAUAAUUAAACUAUGACGAUUAGUUUCACUUAAUAGAUGCAAUACACAUAAAACAUAAAGGUGAAAUAUUCACAUAUAUUAAGUGGAAGAGAUACUUCAUAAAUAAUAAAAAUUAGAAAAUCACAUUUAAUUAUUUGUUAUAUGUUAUAACAAUAGUCUUAAUAUAUCGAUUGGAACUUGCAUCGUUUGAUCAUCGACCAAAACAAUGUCAAAUUUUUCCAUAAAUGAAUCCAGGCUGCUUUCAACCUGUAAAAGAUCAAAAUUUCUAUUGAAUUCACAAUCUCUUUCUAAAAAUUCUAAUUAUAAGACAAGGCAUACAAUGAUAAUUAUUUGUUAUAAACAAACACAAUGCAAUAAAUAGUACUUACAUUGUCAUAAAGAAAACCAAUUUUUAGUACGGCGCAUGUAUUCACCAUUCCAUCGACCAUUGAUGCAUCUCCUAUGGUAUCACCCAUUAAAAAAACAUUUUUCCUUCCUUCAAGAACUUUAAAAUAGUCUUGUUCUAUUGCAUGUUCGUUUUUAUUGAAAACAUGAAUUAGUCUUUCAUUUUGAAAGCCUGCCAAUUUUCCAUCU
This is a long non-coding RNA of Bombus terrestris (buff-tailed bumblebee), 1241 nucleotides long. RefSeq lists it as uncharacterized. NCBI's taxonomy places the organism in Eukaryota, Metazoa, Arthropoda, Insecta, Hymenoptera, Apidae. The transcript is spliced from 2 exons. The record is from RefSeq and is a predicted model, not a curated record.